CCAAUAGCGUAUAUUAAAGUUGUUGCAGUUAAAAAGCUCGUAGUUGAAUUUCGAGACCGGUUUACUGGUCGUGCUUUUGUACGUACUGGUAUUAUUGGUUUCUCCUUUCUGACGAAUCAUAAUGCCAUUAAUUUGGUGUUUUGGGGAAUCAGGACUGUUACUUUGAAAAAAUUAGAGUGUUUAAAGCAGGCUCACGCUUGAAUACAUUAGCAUGGAAUAACGAAAUAGGACGUUUGAUUUUAUUUUGUUGGUUUCUAGGAUCGACGUAAUGAUUAAUAGGGAUAGUUGGGGGCAUUAGUAUUCAAUUGUCAGAGGUGAAAUUCUUGGAUUUAUUGAAGACUAACUACUGCGAAAGCAUUUGCCAAGGAUGUUUUCAUUAAUCAAGAACGAAAGUUAGGGGAUCGAAGACGAUCAGAUACCGUCGUAGUCUUAACCAUAAACUAUGCCGACUAGGGAUCGAAUGAUGUUAAUUUUUUAAUGACUCAUUCGGCGCCUUACG
RNAcentral lists this ribosomal RNA (499 nucleotides) under uncultured Glomeromycotina. Its description in RNAcentral is "partial small subunit ribosomal RNA". It matches the Rfam family "Eukaryotic small subunit ribosomal RNA", at positions 591 to 1092 of the family's 1831-position model. Lineage: Eukaryota; Fungi; Glomeromycota. The record is from RNAcentral.